CCGUAGGUGACCUGCGGAAGGAUCAUUGUCGAAUCCUGCACAAGCAGAAUGACCAGAGAACUUGUGACGAACUCAAUGGGGGCGAUGGGUCUUCUUUUCCCAUCGUCCCUCGACGCCAGGAUCCCACGGGCGCCUGGAGCGUUCGGGGCAUUCUCGGCGGCACAACGAACCCCGGCGGAAUGCGCCAAGGAACUUGAACAAGAGAGCGAUGCUCUCACCACCCCAGACAUGGUGCGUGCGUGGGAUGCCAUGCAAUCUCCCAUUAUUCAUAACGACUCUCGGCAACGGAUAUCUCGGCUCUCGCAUCGAUGAAGAACGCAGCAAGGAUCAUUG
This 333-nucleotide ribosomal RNA is filed under the name Psidium guajava. Its description in RNAcentral is "partial contains 18S ribosomal RNA, internal transcribed spacer 1 and 5.8S ribosomal RNA". The stretch from base 274 to 333 matches the Rfam family "5.8S ribosomal RNA", at positions 1 to 55 of the family's 154-position model. Lineage: Eukaryota; Viridiplantae; Streptophyta; Magnoliopsida; Myrtales; Myrtaceae. The record is from RNAcentral.